RNAcentral lists this transfer RNA (71 nucleotides) under Camelus bactrianus (Bactrian camel). It matches the Rfam family "tRNA". Rfam says of the family: Transfer RNA (tRNA) molecules are approximately 80 nucleotides in length. Their secondary structure includes four short double-helical elements and three loops (D, anti-codon, and T loops). Lineage: Eukaryota; Metazoa; Chordata; Mammalia; Artiodactyla; Camelidae. The record is from Rfam by way of RNAcentral. RNAcentral also lists the same sequence under 1 other name.
GAGGGUAUAGCUCAGUGGGAGAGCACGUGCUUAGCAUGCACGAAGUCUUGGUUCAAUCCCCAGUAACUCCA